RNAcentral lists this ribosomal RNA (380 nucleotides) under uncultured bacterium. RNAcentral describes it as "bacterial SSU rRNA". It matches the Rfam family "Bacterial small subunit ribosomal RNA", at positions 30 to 334 of the family's 1533-position model. The record is from RNAcentral.
AUUGAACGCUGGCGGCAGGCCUAACACAUGCAAGUCGAGCGGUUACAGAAAGAAAGCUUGCUUUCUUUGCUGACGAGCGGCGGACGGGUGAGUAAUGCCUGGGAAUAUGCCUUAGUGUGGGGGAUAACUAUUGGAAACGAUAGCUAAUACCGCAUAACGUCUUUGUUCAUUACGAGCGGGACCAAAGAGGGGGACCUUCGGGCCUCUCGCGCUAACACCUCAUAUGCCUUUAAGUCAUAAGACUGCAAGGGAAACAUUUAUGGCUCUAGGAUGGGACUGUACGGUAUCAGUUAGUUGGUGAGGUAAUGGCUCACCAAGACAAUGACACCUAACUGGUUUGAGAGGAUGAUCAGUCACACUGGAACUGAGACACGGUCCAG